AACGAACGCUGGCGGCAUGCCUAACACAUGCAAGUCGAACGAGAUCUUCGGGUCUAGUGGCGCACGGGUGCGUAACGCGUGGGAAUCUGCCCUUUGGUUCGGAAUAACAGUUGGAAACGACUGCUAAUACCGGAUGAUGAUGAAAGUCCAAAGAUUUAUCGCCAGAGGAGGUGCCCGCUUAGGUUGAGCUAGUUGGUGUGGUAAAGGCGCACCAAUGCGACGCUCCUUAGCUGGUCUGAGAGGAUGAUCAGCCACACUGGGACUGAGAAACAGCCCAGACUCCUACGGGAGGCAGCAGUGGGGAAUAUUGAACAAUGGGCGAAAGCCUGAUCCAGCAAUGCCGCGUGAGUGAUGAAGGCCUUAGGGUUGUAAAGCUCUUUUACCCGGGAUGAUAAUGACAGUACCGGGAGAAUAAGCUCCGGCUAACUCCGUGCCAGCCGCCGCAGUAA
Molecule: ribosomal RNA, 449 nt
Filed under: uncultured bacterium
Lineage: Bacteria
Description: partial 16S ribosomal RNA
Rfam family: Bacterial small subunit ribosomal RNA
Source: RNAcentral